RNAcentral lists this ribosomal RNA (385 nucleotides) under uncultured bacterium. RNAcentral describes it as "bacterial SSU rRNA". It matches the Rfam family "Bacterial small subunit ribosomal RNA", at positions 355 to 757 of the family's 1533-position model. The record is from RNAcentral.
UGGGGAAUAUUGGACAAUGGGCGCAAGCCUGAUCCAGCCAUGCCGCGUGAGUGAUGAAGGCCUUAGGGUUGUAAAGCUCUUUCGGCGGGGAAGAUAAUGACGGUACCCGCAGAAGAAGCCACGGCUAACUUCGUGCCAGCAGCCGCGGUAAUACGUAGGGGGCAAGCGUUGUCCGGAUUUACUGGGUGUAAAGGGCGCGCAGGCGGGAUAAAAAGUCAGUGGUGAAAUCCUACAGCUUAACUGUAGAACUGCCUUUGAUACUUUUAUUCUUGGAUUCGGGAGAGAGAGACGGAAUGCCAGGUGUAGUGGUGAAAUACGUAGAUAGCUGGAAGAACCCCAGUUGCGAAGGCGGUCUCUUGGUCCGACACUGACGCUGAGGCGCGAA